Molecule: ribosomal RNA, 527 nt
Filed under: uncultured Actinomycetes bacterium
Lineage: Bacteria; Bacillati; Actinomycetota; Actinomycetes
Description: bacterial SSU rRNA
Rfam family: Bacterial small subunit ribosomal RNA
Source: RNAcentral
AGAGUUUGAUCCUGGCUCAGGACGAACGCUGGCGGCGCGCUUAACACAUGCAAGUCGAGCGAGAACCAGUCCUUCGGGGCUGGGGACAGCGGCGAACGGGUGAGUAACACGUGGGUAAUCUGCCCUCGGCACCGGAAUAGCCCGGGGAAACCCGGAUUAAUGCCGGAUGGCCUCUCUGCCCCUCGGGGCGGCGAGAAAAGGUAGCUUCGGCCUCCGGCCGAGGAUGAGCCCGCGGCCGAUUAGCUUGUUGGUGAGGUAACGGCUCACCAAGGCGACGAUCGGUAGCUGGUCUGAGAGGACGAUCAGCCACACUGGGACUGAGACACGGCCCAGACUCCUACGGGAGGCAGCAGUGGGGAAUCUUGCGCAAUGGGCGAAAGCCUGACGCAGCGACGCCGCGUGCGGGAAGAAGGCCUUCGGGUUGUAAACCGCUUUCAGGAGGGACGAAGCCACUCGGGUUAAUAGCCUAGAGGGUGACGGUACCUCCAGAAGAAGCCCCGGCUAACUACGUGCCAGCAGCCGCGGUA